Molecule: ribosomal RNA, 469 nt
Filed under: uncultured bacterium
Lineage: Bacteria
Description: partial 16S ribosomal RNA
Rfam family: Bacterial small subunit ribosomal RNA
Source: RNAcentral
GACGAACGCUGGCGGCGUGCUUAACACAUGCAAGUCGAACGAUGAUCUCCCGCUUGCGGGGGUGUUUAGUGGCGAACGGGUGAGUAAUACGUGAGUAACCUGCUCUUGACUCUGGGAUACGCCUGGGAAACCGGGUCUAAUACUGGAUACUACUUCCUGCCGCAUGGUGGGGGCUGGAGAGGUCUUUACUGGUUUUGAAUGUGCUUACGGCCUACCAGCUUGUUGGUGGAGUAAUGGCUCACCAAGGCGACGGGGUGUAGCCGGCCUGAGGGGUUGACCGGCGGCACUGAGACUGAGGCACGGCCCAGACUCCUACGGGAGGCAGCUGUGGGGAAGAUUGCACAAGGGGCGGAGGCCGGAUGCAGCGAGGCCGCGUGUGGGAUAACGGCCUUCGGGGUGUAAACCUGUAUCAGCAGGGAAGAAGCCACAAGUGACGGUACCUGCAGAAGAAGCGCCGGCUAACUACGUG